UGAGGAAUAUUGGACAAUGGGUGCAAGCCUGAUCCAGCCAUCCCGCGUGUAGGAAGACGGCCCUAUGGGUUGUAAACUACUUUUAUCUGGGGAUAAACCUACUUACGUGUAAGUAGCUGAAGGUACCAGAUGAAUAAGCACCGGCUAACUCCGUGCCAGCAGCCGCGGUAAUACGGAGGGUGCAAGCGUUAUCCGGAUUUAUUGGGUUUAAAGGGUCCGUAGGCGGACUGAUAAGUCAGUGGUGAAAUCCGACAGCUUAACUGUCGAACUGCCAUUGAUACUGUUAGUCUUGAGUAAGGUUGAAGUGGCUGGAAUAAGUAGUGUAGCGGUGAAAUGCAUAGAUAUUACUUAGAACACCAAUUGCGAAGGCAGGUCACUAAGUCUUAACUGACGCUGAUGGACGAAAGCGUGGGGAGCGAACA
RNAcentral lists this ribosomal RNA (422 nucleotides) under uncultured bacterium. Its description in RNAcentral is "bacterial SSU rRNA". It matches the Rfam family "Bacterial small subunit ribosomal RNA", at positions 355 to 774 of the family's 1533-position model. The record is from RNAcentral.